RNAcentral lists this ribosomal RNA (482 nucleotides) under uncultured bacterium. RNAcentral's name for it is "partial 16S ribosomal RNA". It matches the Rfam family "Bacterial small subunit ribosomal RNA", at positions 30 to 507 of the family's 1533-position model. The record is from RNAcentral.
AUUGAACGCUGGCGGCAUGCCUUACACAUGCAAGUCGAACGGUAACAGGUCUUCGGAUGCUGACGAGUGGCGCACGGGUGAGUAAUACAUCGGAACGUGCCCGAUCGUGGGGGAUAACGGAGCGAAAGCUUUGCUAAUACCGCAUACGAUCUACGGAUGAAAGCAGGGGACCGCAAGGCCUUGCGCGGACGGAGCGGCCGAUGGCAGAUUAGGUAGUUGGUGGGAUAAAAGCUUACCAAGCCGACGAUCUGUAGCUGGUCUGAGAGGACGACCAGCCACACUGGGACUGAGACACGGCCCAGACUCCUACGGGAGGCAGCAGUGGGGAAUUUUGGACAAAGGGCGAAAGCCUGAUCCAGCCAUGCCGCGUGCAGGAUGAAGGCCUUCGGGUUGUAAACUGCUUUUGUACGGAACGAAAAGACUCUUUCUAAUAAAGAGGGUCCAUGACGGUACCGUAAGAAUAAGCACCGGCUAACUACGUG